GUGGUCGUAGCUCAGUGGUAGAGCCCGCGGAUGUGGCCCGCGUUACGAGAGUUCGAUCCUCUCCGAUCACCCCA
This 74-nucleotide transfer RNA is filed under the name Pseudomonadales bacterium. RNAcentral's name for it is "tRNA-His". It matches the Rfam family "tRNA". From Rfam's summary of the family: Transfer RNA (tRNA) molecules are approximately 80 nucleotides in length. Their secondary structure includes four short double-helical elements and three loops (D, anti-codon, and T loops). The record is from RNAcentral. RNAcentral also lists the same sequence under 1 other name. Lineage: Bacteria; Pseudomonadati; Pseudomonadota; Gammaproteobacteria; Pseudomonadales.